AAAGCCUACAAGGGAAUGAGUCCGUUUCCAGCUGGGCGGCCGGACAGGGUAUUCCCCACCCCCUUAGGCUCCGCCCCCUGCCCGUCUGGCCGGACCGGGCAAGUCCCCACUUUGCAGGCUGCGAGGCCCGGCCCUCGGAUGACGUUACAGCCGACGAGGUAGAGGCGGGGCGCGGGAGGAAGGCGGUGUUGGGAAGCCAGCCCAGACUCUGCUGGGACGCAUGCGCCAGACACGAAGCGCGCAGAGCCUGUUGUCCUGCUCGCCGAGUGUCCUGCAAGGCCUUAACUAAGGUACGUAGUUGGAUGGGAUGUCCUGUGAGAAGGCAUGCAGAUAACAGAAAUGCGAGGCAAAAGAGCAAGAAAGAGGUAAGAGUAGAAGUGAAAUUUCAUCGUACUUAGGGUAGCUGUAACUAACAUGUGCCAUAACGUUUUAGUUUUUGUUCUUUUCUUUAGUUGGGACUGAGAUUUCACAUUUGAUUAUUUCAUGUAAAUUAGAGUGUGAUGGUGGCAGAUUGAAAAACUUUUUAAUCAAAUAUAUUUAUUAA
Molecule: long non-coding RNA, 544 nt
Organism: Leopardus geoffroyi (Geoffroy's cat)
Lineage: Eukaryota; Metazoa; Chordata; Mammalia; Carnivora; Felidae
Exons: 3
Source: RefSeq, a predicted model, not a curated record